This 488-nucleotide small RNA is filed under the name Histoplasma capsulatum. Its description in RNAcentral is "hypothetical RNA". RNAcentral also lists the same sequence under 1 other name. Lineage: Eukaryota; Fungi; Ascomycota; Eurotiomycetes; Onygenales; Ajellomycetaceae. The record is from RNAcentral.
CAAGCCCCUUGAUGCACUGGGCAUCUUCUACGUGAUCUUUGACAUCGUCUGGACUCUCCUGGUAAUGACAGGGCUCAUCUGGUUGUGGAGCAACAGGGCCAUUCCCUCUGUCCGCAUGCGCAAUGUGCCUCUGGCAAUCUGUUCAGUGCUCUUUCUGCAUGGCUACGGGGGGUUCUACAUUCUUGUUUAUCCACUCAAGGGGAUUACCAGCUGCCGCCUCGAGUUCUGGCUCAUGUGUGGCGUACUUCCAGUGGGGAUUGCGUUGUUUCAGGCUACGAACGUCCAGCUGCUGAGCGUGGCUACUCUCCAGCAGCGUUUCAUCAGGGAUGAUGGCACCUUUGAUGAGCCGACUCCGCAAGAAAUUCGCUGUCCGUUCAACAAGCUCAAGUGUUGGUGGACGCAUCUCUCGUGGGCUAGGCAGACUAUGUUUGCUAUUGCGAUUGGGAUGUUUAUCGAGGUAUUUUUUGUCUCUACUUGCAUUCUUCGGG